This 568-nucleotide ribosomal RNA is filed under the name uncultured bacterium. RNAcentral's name for it is "bacterial SSU rRNA". It matches the Rfam family "Bacterial small subunit ribosomal RNA", at positions 358 to 917 of the family's 1533-position model. The record is from RNAcentral.
GGAAUAUUGGACAAUGGGCGCAAGCCUGAUCCAGCCAUACCGCGUGGGUGAAGAAGGCCUUCGGGUUGUAAAGCCCUUUUGUUGGGAAAGAAAUCCAGCUGGCUAAUACCCGGUUGGGAUGACGGUACCCAAAGAAUAAGCACCGGCUAACUUCGUGCCAGCAGCCGCGGUAAUACGAAGGGUGCAAGCGUUACUCGGAAUUACUGGGCGUAAAGCGUGCGUAGGUGGUCGUUUAAGUCCGUUGUGAAAGCCCUGGGCUCAACCUGGGAACUGCAGUGGAUACUGGACGACUAGAGUGUGGUAGAGGGUAGCGGAAUUCCUGGUGUAGCAGUGAAAUGCGUAGAGAUCAGGAGGAACAUCCAUGGCGAAGGCAGCUUCCUGGACCAACACUGACACUGAGGCACGAAAGCGUGGGGAGCAAACAGGAUUAGAUACCCUGGUAGUCCACGCCCUAAACGAUGCGAACUGGAUGUUGGGUGCAAUUUGGCACGCAGUAUCGAAGCUAACGCGUUAAGUUCGCCGCCUGGGGAGUACGGUCGCAAGACUGAAACUCAAAGGAAUUGACGGA